GACGAACGCUGGCGGCGUGCUUAACACAUGCAAGUCGAACGGAAAGGCCCUGCUUUUGUGGGGUGCUCGAGUGGCGAACGGGUGAGUAACACGUGAGUAACCUGCCCUUGACUUUGGGAUAACUUCAGGAAACUGGGGCUAAUACCGGAUAGGAGCUCCGGCUGCAUGGUGGGGGUGGGAAAGUUUCGGCGGUUGGGGAUGGACGCGCGGCUUAUCAGCUUGGUGGUGGGGUAGUGGCUUACCAAGGCCUUGACGGGUAGCCGGCCUGAGAGGGUGACCGGACAUUUUGGGACUGAGAUACGGCCCAGACUCAUACGGGAGGCAGCAGUGGGGAAUAUUGCACAAUGGGCGGAAGCCUGAUGCAGCAACGCCGCGUGCGGGAUGACGGCCUUCGGGUUGUAAUCCGCUUUCGCCUGUGACGAAGCGUGAGUGACGGUAAUGGGUAAAGAAGCACCGGCUAACUACGUG
RNAcentral lists this ribosomal RNA (468 nucleotides) under uncultured bacterium. RNAcentral's name for it is "partial 16S ribosomal RNA". It matches the Rfam family "Bacterial small subunit ribosomal RNA", at positions 28 to 507 of the family's 1533-position model. The record is from RNAcentral.